Molecule: ribosomal RNA, 468 nt
Filed under: uncultured bacterium
Lineage: Bacteria
Description: partial 16S ribosomal RNA
Rfam family: Bacterial small subunit ribosomal RNA
Source: RNAcentral
GACGAACGCUGGCGGCGUGCUUAACACAUGCAAGUCGAACGGAAAGGCCCUGCUUUUGUGGGGUGCCCGAGUGGCGAACGGGUGAGUAACACGGGAGUAACCUGCCCUUGACUUUGGGAUAACUUCAGGAAACUGGGGCUAAUACCGGAUAGGAGCUCCUGCUGCAUGGUGGGGGUUGGAAAGUUUAGGCGGUUGGGGAUAGACUGGCGGCUUAUCAGCUUGUUGGUGGGGUAGUGGCUUACCAAGGGUUUGACGGAUAGCCGGCCUGGGAGGGUGACCAGCGUCCAGAGGACUGAGAUAGGGAGCAGACGGCAAUGGUAGGCAAUGGGCGGGAGCCUUGCACAGUGGGGCGGAGCGUGAUGAGACAGCCUCGGGAUCGGAAAGACGGCCUUCGUGGUGUGAACCGCUUUAAGCUGUGACGUAGCGUGAGUGACGGUACUGAGUAAAGAAGCACCGGCUAACUACGUG